Molecule: ribosomal RNA, 484 nt
Filed under: uncultured bacterium
Lineage: Bacteria
Description: partial 16S ribosomal RNA
Rfam family: Bacterial small subunit ribosomal RNA
Source: RNAcentral
AUUGAACGCUGGCGGAAUGCUUUACACAUGCAAGUCGGGCGGCAGCGCGGCCUUCGGGCUGGCGGCGAGCGGCGAACGGGUGAGUAAUGCAUCGGAACAUGCCCAGUCGUGGGGGAUAACACUUCGAAAGAAGUGCUAAUACCGCAUACAUCCUGAGGGGGAAAGCGGGGGAUCGCAAGACCUCGCGCGAUUGGAGUGGCCGAUGUCAGAUUAGCUAGUUGGUGGGGUAAAGGCCUACCAAGGCGACGAUCUGUAGCUGGUCUGAGAGGAUGAUCAGCCACACUGGGACUGAGACACGGCCCAGACUCCUACGGGAGGCAGCAGUGGGGAAUUUUGGACAAUGGGGGCAACCCUGAUCCAGCCAUUCCGCGCGAGUGAAGAAGGCCUUCGGGUCGUAAAGCUCUUUCGGCAGGAACGAAACGGUGGGCUCUAACAUAGUCCGCUAAUGACGGUACCUGAAGAAGAAGCACCGGCUAACUACGUG